AGUGAACGCUGGCGGCGUGCUUAACACAUGCGAGUCGAACGAGAACGGAUUAUAGCUUGCUAUAAUUGUCAGCUAAGUGGCGCACGGGUGAGUAAUGUAUAGGUAAUAUGCCUCUUACUAAGGGAUAACAAAUGGAAACGUUUGCUAAUACCUUAUACUCCUUAUUAACAGAAGUUAAUAAGGGAAAGAUUUAUUGGUAAGAGAUUAGCCUGUAUUGUAUCAGUUAGUUGGUGGGGUAAUGGCUUACCAAGACUAUGACACAUAACUGGUUUGAGAGGAUGAUCUGUCACACUGGAACUGAGACACGGUCCAGACUCCUACGGGAGGCAGCAGUGGGGAAUAUUGCACAAUGGACGAAAGUCUGAUGCAGCAACGCCGCGUGGAGGAUGACACAUUUCGGUGCGUAAACUCCUUUUAUAUGAGAAGAUAAUGACAGUAUUAUAUGAAUAAGCACCGGCUAACUCCGUGCCAGCCGCCGCGGUAA
This 484-nucleotide ribosomal RNA is filed under the name uncultured bacterium. RNAcentral's name for it is "partial 16S ribosomal RNA". It matches the Rfam family "Bacterial small subunit ribosomal RNA", at positions 29 to 523 of the family's 1533-position model. The record is from RNAcentral.